Molecule: ribosomal RNA, 465 nt
Filed under: uncultured Klebsiella sp.
Lineage: Bacteria; Pseudomonadati; Pseudomonadota; Gammaproteobacteria; Enterobacterales; Enterobacteriaceae
Description: bacterial SSU rRNA
Rfam family: Bacterial small subunit ribosomal RNA
Source: RNAcentral
CCUACGGUGGGCAGCAGUGGGGAAUAUUGCACAAUGGGCGCAAGCCUGAUGCAGCCAUGCCGCGUGUGUGAAGAAGGCCUUCGGGUUGUAAAGCACUUUCAGCGGGGAGGAAGGCGUUAAGGUUAAUAACCUUGGCGAUUGACGUUACCCGCAGAAGAAGCACCGGCUAACUCCGUGCCAGCAGCCGCGGUAAUACGGAGGGUGCAAGCGUUAAUCGGAAUUACUGGGCGUAAAGCGCACGCAGGCGGUCUGUCAAGUCGGAUGUGAAAUCCCCGGGCUCAACCUGGGAACUGCAUUCGAAACUGGCAGGCUAGAGUCUUGGAGAGGGGGGUAGAAUUCCAGGUGUAGCGGUGAAAUGCGUAGAGAUCUGGAGGAAUACCGGUGGCGAAGGCGGCCCCCUGGACAAAGACUGACGCCCAGGUGCGAAAGCGUGGGGAGCAAACAGGAUUAGAUACCCCUGUAGUC